Molecule: ribosomal RNA, 778 nt
Filed under: uncultured bacterium
Lineage: Bacteria
Description: bacterial SSU rRNA
Rfam family: Bacterial small subunit ribosomal RNA
Source: RNAcentral
AGAGUUCCAUUCUGGCUCAGGAUGAACGCUGGCGGCGCGCCUAACACAUGCAAGUCGAACGGCACCCCUCUCCGGAGGGAAGCGAGUGGCGAACGGCUGAGUAACACGUGGAGAACCUGCCCCCUCCCCCGGGAUAGCCGCCCGAAAGGACGGGUAAUACCGGAUACCCCCGGGCGCCGCAUGGCGCCCGGGCUAAAGCCCCGACGGGAGGGGAUGGCUCCGCGGCCCAUCAGGUAGACGGCGGGGUGACGGCCCACCGUGCCGACAACGGGUAGCCGGGUUGAGAGACCGACCGGCCAGAUUGGGACUGAGACACGGCCCAGACUCCUACGGGAGGCAGCAGUGGGGAAUCUUGCGCAAUGGGGGGAACCCUGACGCAGCGACGCCGCGUGCGGGACGGAGGCCUUCGGGUCGUAAACCGCUUUCAGCAGGGAAGAGUCAAGACUGUACCUGCAGAAGAAGCCCCGGCUAACUACGUGCCAGCAGCCGCGGUAAUACGUAGGGGGCGAGCGUUAUCCGGAUUCAUUGGCGUAAAGCGCGCGUAGGCGGCCCGGCAGGCCGGGGGUCGAAGCGGGGGGCUCAACCCCCCGAAGCCCCCGGAACCUCCGCGGCUUGGGUCCGGUAGGGGAGGGUGGAACACCCGGUGUAGCGGUGGAAUGCGCAGAUAUCGGGUGGAACACCGGUGGCGAAGGCGGCCCUCUGGGCCGAGACCGACGCUGAGGCGCGAAAGCUGGGGGAGCGAACAGGAUUAGAUACCCUGGUAGUCCCAGCCGUAAAU